RNAcentral lists this small nuclear RNA (116 nucleotides) under Fukomys damarensis (Damara mole-rat). Its description in RNAcentral is "U2 spliceosomal RNA". It matches the Rfam family "U2 spliceosomal RNA". Rfam says of the family: U2 is a small nuclear RNA (snRNA) component of the spliceosome (involved in pre-mRNA splicing). Complementary binding between U2 snRNA (in an area lying towards the 5' end but 3' to hairpin I) and the branchpoint sequence (BPS) of the intron results the bulging out of an unpaired adenosine, on the BPS, which initiates a nucleophilic attack at the intronic 5' splice site, thus starting the first of two transesterification reactions that mediate splicing. The record is from Rfam by way of RNAcentral. Lineage: Eukaryota; Metazoa; Chordata; Mammalia; Rodentia; Bathyergidae.
AUAUGUAUCCAUUUGGCUAAGAUCAAGUGUACUAUCUAUUCUUAUCAGUUUAAUAUCUGAUAUGUCCUCUAUCCAAUAUGAUGUAUUGUCAUUGCCAUUUAAUUGUAGAAACUGUC